This 292-nucleotide ribosomal RNA is filed under the name uncultured bacterium. RNAcentral describes it as "partial 16S ribosomal RNA". It matches the Rfam family "Bacterial small subunit ribosomal RNA", at positions 505 to 796 of the family's 1533-position model. The record is from RNAcentral.
GUGCCAGCAGCCGCGGUAAUACAGAGGGUGCGAGCGUUGUCCGGAAUUACUGGGCGUAAAGGGCGCGUAGGCGGCCCGAUAAGUCGGGGGUGAAAUUCAGCGGCUCAACCGCUGGACUGCCUUCGAGACUGUCAGGCUCGAGCACGGUAGAGGCUGGUGGAAUUCCCGGUGUAGCGGUGGAAUGCGUAGAGAUCGGGAAGAACAUCGGUGGCGAAGGCGGCCAGCUGGGCCGUUGCUGACGCUGAGGCGCGACAGCGUGGGGAGCAAACAGGAUUAGAUACCCGAGUAGUCC